This is a long non-coding RNA of Balaenoptera acutorostrata (minke whale), 4246 nucleotides long. RefSeq lists it as uncharacterized. Lineage: Eukaryota; Metazoa; Chordata; Mammalia; Artiodactyla; Balaenopteridae. The record is from RefSeq and is a predicted model, not a curated record. The transcript is spliced from 8 exons.
CCACGGGGCCGCCUGCCGGUUGGAACGGCAGCCCCCCGGGGCGCAGGGCCAUGAGGCCGGCGCCAAAGUGAGCGCGGCAUGGAGGGGCCUGCCUAACUGGGGCCCGUGACCCUGCGUCUUCUGGCUGCGACGCGGGUCCUGCGCACGCGGCGGGGCCGCAGCCGCAGGGCGGUGGGCGCCCGAGGGGCCGGGAGGCGAGCCGGGGCCCCCAGGCGGGUGUGGGCACCGUGUCCACAGCCAGCGUCCCCGAGGCCGCGCUCGGGCCGUGAUGACCGGUGAAGCUGCGCUGCGACAGCGCGGCCGACUUCUUCCCUGUGUCCAGUAGUGGUCUGGAGGGUUAUUUGUCAAGGUGUUAGGAACUCUACCACUCUUAAGACAGUAAACUUCACGGGGUGUCAUCUGACAUGGCAGGGAGCAGAUCACAUGGCCAAGAUCUUAAAGUAUCAGACUACCGGAAGGCAUGAAGAAACCUGGGCUGAGAGUCUUCGCUCCAGGAGACCUGAUCUUGACUGUAUGGCUGGCUUGAGGCGCGUCACUCUGAACGGCCACACGCUCAUCGGUGACCUGGGUGCACGUGCUUUGGCAGAAUCUCUUAGGGAGGAUUUGUGGCUUGGAGCACUUGACCUGCAGCAGUGUGGCCUCACCAGUGAAGGAGCAAAGGCUUUACUAAAGGCCCUUGAAAGCAACAGAACUCUGGUCGUUUUGGAUAUAAGAAAAAAAUCCACUUGUUGAUCAGUCUGUGAUGAAAGCAGUUAUCCAAAAACUUCUCCAGAUGGAAGGAGUGCCAAGUCAGAGGCUCAAAGAUUUGGAAAGAGAGAGUUUAACAGAAAAGGAAUGCGUGAAGGAGAAAUGGAAUCUCUUGCCUGAAUUUCUGCAGACAGAAAUAAAGAAUCAGUUAUGUGACUUGGAAACCAAAUGACAUAAAGAAGAAUUAUCAGAGGUUAAGUCGUCAGCGUCCCGGCGGCUAGAAAACGUUUCCUCCCAUGUAACUUGUCUGUGACCAGGGAGGCGGGAUCAUCCCACCUCUCCAUGUUACCUGAUAGUUAUAAAGGAAGCGCAUGUGUUUCCUUAUUCUCUCAUGGCCACUUGUUGACGUUCACUGCUACUUAAAUUAUCCUUUCCUGCUGUAGGAGGGCUACCUGGCUGAAGUCAAAUCCCUUUUAAAUACAGAUUUGUCCUUGGAGAACAUGCUUUCAGUCGGGAAGUGAAUGGAUGUCUAGAAAACGGGAGCCAGACAAGUGGUGAGGAGCGCAGAGUGGAAAUAGCAGAGAAAAAGAAGUCCCCCAAACCUGUUUCCAAACUUUGCAUGCCCAGGAGAAGCAAGUCCGAUGGAGAAACAAAAUCUGAAGUCUCAUGGGGCCCCAGGAUUACAAGGCAAACUACCAGGCAGACCACCAUCACGUCUCAUUUCACAAGGGGGUCAGUAUAUAAUGAAUGGACAGCCCCCAUUUUAGGGGCCAACUGUUUUUGGUAAAACACAUAGAGAAUUAGUAGGAUGUAACUUAGUAAUUCUGACUUCCACAUUGCUUUUGCCAAGGAUAGUAAAAUGAACCCCUGUGUACCUAUCACCCAGUAUCAACAGUUAACAGCUCCUGGCUGUUGUUUCAUCUAUACUGCCAUAUGCUCCAAGUGAAAACUAUUCCAAAUGGAUUACAACUCCAUACACACCCGUGUCCCCCCAGUUGGAUUACUUUGAGACAAAUCGGACAUGUCAUCUUAUCCACAAAUACGAUAUUUCUAGAUGACAAGGUCUCUUUCUCUGACAAGUUUUUUAUUCAUAUUUUGCUAUAAUUGCUAACAUCUAGCAAACAGUCUUUUGAAGAAGACAAAACAUGCCUUACAAAGUGUAACAGUUCCUUACUAACAAAUAUAUAGCAGUGUUCAUACCUCCCCUUGUGUUAACAGAGUUUGGUUGAUUUGUUCCUUAAGCCUUUCAAGUGAUAGAUUCCUUAUUUUCUUGCCAUUUAUUUAAAGAAAAGAGGUCUUUUGUCUAAUAGCUUCUAGGUCUGGCUGACUGCAUCGUUUCGGUGGUGAAUGUGUUCCCUUGUCUCCAGUUUUCUGUCAACUGGUAGUUAGGUCUAGAGUCCUGAUCAGAUUCCAGCUUUGUUUUGUGCGACUUCAUUGACGGUAUGGGGCUGUCCAUCAGAGACAUGUAAUGUCUCUUCGGUGAUUCUAGCAGCCGUUGAUCAAAGUCUAGAUCCAUUAUUUCUUAGGGUUUGCAAAACGGUGGUAUUCUAAACCUGUCAUCCAAAGAAACAUUAAGCUCGAAGCUUGUUUUAGUGUCCUGGCAAAAAGGGCUUCUCCUUGGAGGGAAGAGGGUGUCCAUGGCCUGAAUCUUUCCAAACAGAGGGUACUCUUGGUAGGGAGGAAUAUAAGUUGUUUUGUGCCCACUGCAAGUCUAGGGUCUGGCUGAGCUACCAGUUGGCCUUACUGUGUGUGACAGCCCUGCCAAACAGAAACCUGAGGAAGACCCUGAAGAAGCAAAAUCAGGUGAUUCUGUCGAUGAGGAAGAAAAAGACCAGGUAGGGCUCGCGUUUCAGUUUCUUAACUCUGCCUUAUUUUGGUACACUUGCUGGUAAUUGUGAAUGUACACUUGGUCUGUGUAUGGACCGUAAGUGACUGAGAGGGUGUUAGAACAUAUCCCUGGACCCAGGGCAGUACGUAGUGUAUUAUGGUUAGACCCGAGGACUCAGCAGGCCCGUAACUGUGGUGUGUUCUCUCCUGUCUACCUUCCUACCUCUCCAGCUGUCAAGAUUUUCCAGUCAAACCAGCAGAUGUGAUGCGUUUAGAGCAUUUCCUUCUGAUGUCAGAUAAGCUCCUUUCCCACAUCUAAUCUCUCUAUAAAAGCAGAGUUGUCGUGUUACUAUGUGUAUUGUAAUAAUGCUGCUUAGACUUUUUAGGUUAGAAAACUGGUGGCUUGCCAAAGGCCUCCAAUAUAGAAAAUGUCAGUCUCUAGCACUGUCCCGUGUGACUUGAGGGGCAAACCUAGAUACUACCAGAUGGUCACACGCUAUCUAUUUCAUUCCUGCCACAGGAUUAGCUGUGUAAGUCGGGAAGUCUGUAGGUUUACAGGUGGGCAGUAAAUGUCCUGUUACCUGCUAAAGAUGAGUAUCCGUGGUUUGCUCUAAGGCAGGGUUUCUCAAGCAAGGCAUUGACUUUUGGGGCCAGAUAAACCUUUGCUGUAGGUGUGAGUCCUGUGCAUCGUAGAGUGUUUAGCAAGGUCCCGACCUCUACUCACUAGAUGCCCGUAACAUUCCCUCUCUCUCCUCCCAGUUGUGACCACCAAAAUCACCUUCAGACUUUCCCAGAUGUCCCCUGGGGGGCACAAUUGCACUGAGCGAGAAGCACUGGACUCAAGGCUAGCAAUAUCAUUGAGGUAGACUUGACGUCCUGUUGUAAAAGACAUACUCAUUCUCCUGUUUUUAUUUUGGAAAUUAGAUGCCACUGUUCAUGAUCCUUAUUCAGAUGUCUGUAAUGAAGUUGAGUCAGACUACCCACUCACAGGUGGGACACUGAGACAGAGGGAAACGGCUUGUCCAAGUCACAUGGCCACAUCCCUUGCCUCCUAAGAAAACGUGUCGCAAGGGAAAGCAAGCUGGCUCUUGUAAUAUUGACAAGUGUUUUUUUUUUAAACAAAUGUGCCAGUUUUAGAGUUGUUCUUUGCCCUCUAACCUUUUGGAGGGCUUCCGUAGCCUUCAAGCUUCUGAAGAAACGAACUGGGGCCCUCUUUCCCAAGCAGGAAGCAGUUUCACUGGCAGUGUGUGAGAGGCCUUGGGGACUUGGAGGAUGAACACUUGUCGCAACAGGGUUUAUCCCGAUAUGCUAGAGUAAGGCUCAGUGCACCACACCGGUGUCAUCAGGUAGUGUUUGUUGGUCAAACAAGUAGUACUACAGAGAGAAUCUUACUUUAGUCAAUUUAAAGUUUUGAGAUCUCACUAUGUUUUUAAAAACAGGUAUUAAAUACAUGCAUUUGGUAAAACAGUACAAAAGCCUGUUUGGUACAUAGCAGCCAAAGAAAAACAAUGUGGCUAUUCCGUGCUGAGCUAUGCUGUGAGCGGUAUCAAAUAGGUACUGGAUUCUGAGGCCUUUGUUCAGGAACAAAAAAGAAUAUAAAAAUAUCUGAUUACCACAACUAAGGAGCCGGCCUGUGGCAACUAAGACCCGGCACAAUUAACUAAGUAGCUAACUGACUAACUAUUUUUUAAAAUCUCAUUAAUAGGUUUUUAAUAUGAUUUUUAAAAAUUUA